UCCGUCUCGCUGUAUUUCUCCCCCCGCCCUUGGCUUUGUUUACGAGUUUUCUUGCAGCGGUGGCCGUGCGGCGCUGGAGGGAUGCCCUUGGGAUGGGACCGUAGCAGCGGCGUUUCAUGCGGCCUUUGCGGCAGCUGUCGCCUGGGGGAUGCAGACAUCCGACAUAGUGCUUAAAGGCUGAGAGCUUGUACGGGUCCCUUUGGACGUACAGAGAUCAGCCGUCAUCGUCCCGUAACUCCUAUUCCUGUUUCCUGGGGUCCCAGCCAGGAUACAAAGUAUAAAUCAUCGUGGAUCUUGUUGGAAAAGUCAUUCUUUCUCAUACGAUUACUCAAAGGAUUUUGAAGAUUGAAUAGGUGACUGCACUAGGGAUGACUCUACUUGAAGUUUUACCAGCAGAUGCAAAAAGAAUGAGACCUUCUGACUGUCAUUGUUGCCAUCAGCAAGGAGCAGAACACCUGCUAAAGGAUUUGGACUUCUGGGAUAUUUUUGAUAUCAACUGAAAAAUGGCCACUGCUUGGAGGGACACCUGUCCUUUCACCAAUGCCAGCUCUUCAUGUUAACCCAGUACAGCACCAAUGGGGAACCUAAGAAGACACUGCUGACACUGGCAAUAGUGAAAGUCCUGUAACCACAUGAGCAUUGCACCUUCUGUUGCACUCCAGAUUCUGUUGCAGUCCUAUGAGUAUGUCUGAAAAAUUUAAGGCUUUUCUAUUAAAACAAAUGUUAAUGAG
Molecule: long non-coding RNA, 731 nt
Organism: Melopsittacus undulatus (budgerigar)
Lineage: Eukaryota; Metazoa; Chordata; Aves; Psittaciformes; Psittaculidae
Exons: 5
Source: RefSeq, a predicted model, not a curated record